AGUGAACGCUGGCGGUAGGCCUAACACAUGCAAGUCGAACGGCAGCACAGUAAGAGCUUGCUCUUACGGGUGGCGAGUGGCGGACGGGUGAGGAAUACAUCGGAAUCUACUUUUUCGUGGGGGAUAACGUAGGGAAACUUACGCUAAUACCGCAUACGACCUACGGGUGAAAGCAGGGGAUCUUCGGACCUUGCGCGAUUGAAUGAGCCGAUGUCGGAUUAGCUAGUUGGCGGGGUAAAGGCCCACCAAGGCGACGAUCCGUAGCUGGUCUGAGAGGAUGAUCAGCCACACUGGAACUGAGACACGGUCCAGACUCCUACGGGAGGCAGCAGUGGGGAAUAUUGGACAAUGGGCGCAAGCCUGAUCCAGCUAUACCGCGUGGGUGAAGAAGGCAUUCGGGUUGUAAAGCCCUUUUGUUGGGAAAGAAAAGCAGCAGGUUAAUACCCCGCUGUUCUGACGGUACCCAAAGAAUAAGCACCGGCUAACUUCGUG
RNAcentral lists this ribosomal RNA (492 nucleotides) under uncultured bacterium. RNAcentral describes it as "partial 16S ribosomal RNA". It matches the Rfam family "Bacterial small subunit ribosomal RNA", at positions 29 to 507 of the family's 1533-position model. The record is from RNAcentral.